This 2890-nucleotide ribosomal RNA is filed under the name Vibrio parahaemolyticus. RNAcentral describes it as "23S ribosomal RNA". It matches the Rfam family "Bacterial large subunit ribosomal RNA". The record is from RNAcentral. Lineage: Bacteria; Pseudomonadati; Pseudomonadota; Gammaproteobacteria; Vibrionales; Vibrionaceae.
GGUUAAGUGACUAAGCGUACACGGUGGAUGCCUUGGCAGUCAGAGGCGAUGAAAGACGUAGUAACUUGCGAUAAGCCCAGAUUAGGUAGUAACAACCAUUUGAGUCUGGGAUUUCUGAAUGGGGAAACCCACGUGCAUAAGCACGUAUCCUUACCUGAAUACAUAGGGUAAGGAGGCGAACCGGGGGAACUGAAACAUCUAAGUACCCCGAGGAAAAGAAAUCAACCGAGAUUCCGAAAGUAGCGGCGAGCGAAAUUGGACUAGCCCUUAAGCUUUACACGCGUUAGACGAACGGUCUGGAAAGUCCGACGAUACAGGGUGAUAGUCCCGUAGUUGACGACGUGUGUUCAGUGAAAUCGAGUAGGGCGGGACACGUGAUAUCCUGUCUGAAUAUGGGGGGACCAUCCUCCAAGGCUAAAUACUACUGACUGACCGAUAGUGAACCAGUACCGUGAGGGAAAGGCGAAAAGAACCCCUGUGAGGGGAGUGAAAUAGAACCUGAAACCGUGUACGUACAAGCAGUAGGAGCAGGCUUGUCCUGUGACUGCGUACCUUUUGUAUAAUGGGUCAGCGACUUAUAUUCAGUGGCAAGGUUAACCAUCUAGGGGAGCCGUAGGGAAACCGAGUCUUAACUGGGCGUUCAGUCUCUGGAUAUAGACCCGAAACCAGGUGAUCUAGCCAUGGGCAGGUUGAAGGUUGAGUAACAUCAACUGGAGGACCGAACCGACUAAUGUUGAAAAAUUAGCGGAUGACUUGUGGCUAGGGGUGAAAGGCCAAUCAAACCUGGAGAUAGCUGGUUCUCCCCGAAAGCUAUUUAGGUAGCGCCUCGGACGAAUACUACUGGGGGUAGAGCACUGUUAAGGCUAGGGGGUCAUCCCGACUUACCAACCCUUUGCAAACUCCGAAUACCAGUAAGUACUAUCCGGGAGACACACGGCGGGUGCUAACGUCCGUCGUGGAGAGGGAAACAACCCAGACCGCCAGCUAAGGUCCCAAAUUACUACUAAGUGGGAAACGAUGUGGGAAGGCUCAGACAGCCAGGAUGUUGGCUUAGAAGCAGCCAUCAUUUAAAGAAAGCGUAAUAGCUCACUGGUCGAGUCGGCCUGCGCGGAAGAUGUAACGGGGCUAAGUAGUAAACCGAAGCUGCGGCAAUGUGCUUUUGCACAUUGGGUAGGGGAGCGUUCUGUAAGCGGUUGAAGGUGUGUGGUAACGCAUGCUGGACGUAUCAGAAGUGCGAAUGCUGACAUGAGUAACGAUAAAGGGGGUGAAAAACCUCCUCGCCGGAAGACCAAGGGUUCCUGUCCAACGUUAAUCGGGGCAGGGUAAGUCGACCCCUAAGGCGAGGCCGAAAGGCGUAGUCGAUGGGAAACGGGUUAAUAUUCCCGUACUUCUUACAAUUGCGAUGGGGGGACGGAGAAGGCUAGGUGGGCCUGGCGACGGUUGUCCAGGUUCAAGUGCGUAGGCUUAAGAGUUAGGUAAAUCCGGCUCUUUCUAAGGCUGAGACACGACGUCGAGCACCUACGGGUGUGAAGUCAUUGAUGCCAUGCUUCCAGGAAAAGCCUCUAAGCUUCAGAUUGUAAGGAAUCGUACCCCAAACCGACACAGGUGGUCGGGUAGAGAAUACCAAGGCGCUUGAGAGAACUCGGGUGAAGGAACUAGGCAAAAUGGUACCGUAACUUCGGGAGAAGGUACGCUCUCGACGGUGAAGUCCCUUGCGGAUGGAGCUAUUGAGAGUCGCAGAUACCAGGUGGCUGCAACUGUUUAUUAAAAACACAGCACUGUGCAAAAUCGUAAGAUGACGUAUACGGUGUGACGCCUGCCCGGUGCCGGAAGGUUAAUUGAUGGGGUUAGACUUCGGUCGAAGCUCUUGAUCGAAGCCCCGGUAAACGGCGGCCGUAACUAUAACGGUCCUAAGGUAGCGAAAUUCCUUGUCGGGUAAGUUCCGACCUGCACGAAUGGCGUAAUGAUGGCCACGCUGUCUCCACCCGAGACUCAGUGAAAUUGAAAUCGCUGUGAAGAUGCAGUGUACCCGCGGCUAGACGGAAAGACCCCGUGAACCUUUACUACAGCUUGGCACUGAACAUUGACCCUACAUGUGUAGGAUAGGUGGGAGGCUUUGAAGCACGUACGCCAGUAUGUGUGGAGCCGUCCUUGAAAUACCACCCUUGUAGUGUUGAUGUUCUAACGUCGACCCCUAAUCGGGGUUGCGGACAGUGCCUGGUGGGUAGUUUGACUGGGGCGGUCUCCUCCCAAAGAGUAACGGAGGAGCACGAAGGUGGGCUAAUCACGGUUGGACAUCGUGAGGUUAGUGCAAUGGCAUAAGCCCGCUUGACUGCGAGAAUGACAAUUCGAGCAGGUGCGAAAGCAGGUCAUAGUGAUCCGGUGGUUCUGAAUGGAAGGGCCAUCGCUCAACGGAUAAAAGGUACUCCGGGGAUAACAGGCUGAUACCGCCCAAGAGUUCAUAUCGACGGCGGUGUUUGGCACCUCGAUGUCGGCUCAUCACAUCCUGGGGCUGAAGUCGGUCCCAAGGGUAUGGCUGUUCGCCAUUUAAAGUGGUACGCGAGCUGGGUUUAGAACGUCGUGAGACAGUUCGGUCCCUAUCUGCCGUGGGCGUUGGAAGAUUGAAGGGGGCUGCUCCUAGUACGAGAGGACCGGAGUGGACGAACCUCUGGUGUUCGGGUUGUGUCGCCAGACGCAUUGCCCGGUAGCUAAGUUCGGAAUCGAUAACCGCUGAAAGCAUCUAAGCGGGAAGCGAGCCCUGAGAUGAGUCUUCCCUGAUACUUUAAGUAUCCUAAAGGGUUGUCGGAGACUACGACGUUGAUAGGUCAGGUGUGUAAGUGCUGUGAGGCAUUGAGCUAACUGAUACUAAUUGCCCGUGAGGCUUAACCAU